CUCCCAUUUAUAAUCGGGUGGCAUAAAUGCUGUAAGACUUCUAAACGAAAUGGUAUAAAUAGACAGAAUUUCGGUUAUUGAAAGCCAGUUAAAAAUGAUGUGGACUCCAUAUAUUUUUCUUAUCGUAUUUAUAUGCGCUGUUGCAUUGUAUCGGCCAGUUCAAGGACAAGAUUGGGACAAUGGAGAACAAGCUGUAACGGACUGGUGGUGGGCGUGGAAACCUCAACCUGGAGAUUGAAAAGGCAAGGACAAAUUGAAUUUGACAAUUAAGAUGACGAACAAUAACAAGGUUGUUGUGAAAAUAUAAAUGCAAAUAAAAAAAGUUUUCAAACUGUUGUGCAAAAAAAAAUUAAGU
Drosophila albomicans is the source of this 355-nucleotide long non-coding RNA. RefSeq lists it as uncharacterized. NCBI's taxonomy places the organism in Eukaryota, Metazoa, Arthropoda, Insecta, Diptera, Drosophilidae. The transcript is spliced from 2 exons. The record is from RefSeq and is a predicted model, not a curated record.